CUGGGCGGGGGCACGGGGGGCCUACGGGAGGCAGCAGUGGGGAAUUUUGGACAAUGGGGGCAACCCUGAUCCAGCCAUGCCGCGUGCAGGAAGAAGGCCUUCGGGUUGUAAACUGCUUUUGUACGGAACGAAAAGGUUCGGGUUAAUACCUUGGCUCAUGACUGUACCAUAAGAGAGCUUGUUGA
This 185-nucleotide ribosomal RNA is filed under the name uncultured Hydrogenophaga sp. Its description in RNAcentral is "partial 16S ribosomal RNA". It matches the Rfam family "Bacterial small subunit ribosomal RNA", at positions 314 to 496 of the family's 1533-position model. Lineage: Bacteria; Pseudomonadati; Pseudomonadota; Betaproteobacteria; Burkholderiales; Comamonadaceae. The record is from RNAcentral.